RNAcentral lists this ribosomal RNA (468 nucleotides) under uncultured bacterium. RNAcentral's name for it is "partial 16S ribosomal RNA". It matches the Rfam family "Bacterial small subunit ribosomal RNA", at positions 28 to 507 of the family's 1533-position model. The record is from RNAcentral.
GACGAACGCUGGCGGCGUGCUUAACACAUGCAAGUCGAACGGAAAGGCCCUGCUUUUGUGGGGUGCUCGAGUGGCGAACGGGUGAGUAACACGUGAGUAACCUGCCCUUGACUUUGGGAUAACUUCAGGAAACUGGGGCUAAUACCGGAUAGGAGCUCCUGCUGCAUGGUGGGGGUUGGAAAGUUUCGGCGGUUGGGGAUGGACUCGCGGCUUAUCAGCUUGUUUGUGGGGUAGUGGCUUACCAAGGCUUUGACGGGUAGCCGGCCUGAGAGGGUGACCGGCCAAAUUGGGACUGAGAUACGGACCAGACUCCUACGGGAGGCAGCAGUGGGGAAUAUUGCACAAUGGGCGGAAGCCUGAUGCAGCAACGCCGCGUGCGGGAUGACGGCCUUCGGGUUGUAAACCGCUUCCGCCUGUGACGAAGCGUGAGUGACGGUAAUGGGUAAAGAAGCACCGGCUAACUACGUG